AACGAACGCUGGCGGCAUGCCUAACACAUGCAAGUCGAACGAACCCUUCGGGUUAGUGGCGCACGGGUGCGUAACACGUGGGAAUCUGCCCUUUGCUUCGGAAUAACAGUUAGAAAUGACUGCUAAUACCGGAUGAUGUCGUAAGACCAAAGAUUUAUCGGCAAAGGAUGAGCCCGCGUAGGAUUAGGUAGUUGGUGGGGUAAAGGCCUACCAAGCCGACGAUCCUUAGCUGGUCUGAGAGGAUGAUCAGCCACACUGGGACUGAGACACGGCCCAGACUCCUACGGGAGGCAGCAGUGGGGGAUAUUGGACAAUGGGCGAAAGCCUGAUCCAGCAAUGCCGCGUGAGUGAUGAAGGCCUUCGGUGUAAAGGCUCUUUUACCUAGGGAUGAUAAUGACAGUACCUGGAGAAUAAGCUCCGGCUAACUCCGUAGCCA
Molecule: ribosomal RNA, 436 nt
Filed under: uncultured bacterium
Lineage: Bacteria
Description: bacterial SSU rRNA
Rfam family: Bacterial small subunit ribosomal RNA
Source: RNAcentral